GCCCGGUUAGCUCAAUCGGUAGAGCAUGAGGCUUUUAAUCUCAGGGUCAUGGGUUCCAGCCCCACAUUGGGCG
Molecule: non-coding RNA, 73 nt
Organism: Syngnathus typhle (broad-nosed pipefish)
Lineage: Eukaryota; Metazoa; Chordata; Actinopteri; Syngnathiformes; Syngnathidae
Source: the annotation of a RefSeq genome assembly